GACGAACGCUGGCGGCGUGCUUAACACAUGCAAGUCGAACGGAAAGGCCCUGCUUUUGUGGGGUGCUCGAGUGGCGAACGGGUGAGUAACACGUGAGUAACCUGCCCUUGACUUUGGGAUAACUUCAGGAAACUGGGGCUAAUACCGGAUAGGAGCUCCUGCUGCAUGGUGGGGGUUGGAAAGUUUCGGCGGUUGGGGAUGGACUCGCGGCUUAUCAGCUUGUUGGUGGGGUAGUGGCUUACCAAGGCUUUGACGGGUAGUCGGCCUGGGAGGGUGACCGGCCACAUUGGGACUGAGAUACGGCCCAGACUCCUACGGGAGGCAGCAGUGGGGAAUAUUGCACAAUGGGCGGAAGCCUGAUGCAGCAACGCCGCGUGCGGGAUGACGGCCUUCGGGUUGUAAACCGCUUUCGCCUGUGACGAAGCGUGAGUGACGGUAAUGGGUAAAGAAGCACCGGCUAACUACGUG
RNAcentral lists this ribosomal RNA (468 nucleotides) under uncultured bacterium. RNAcentral's name for it is "partial 16S ribosomal RNA". It matches the Rfam family "Bacterial small subunit ribosomal RNA", at positions 28 to 507 of the family's 1533-position model. The record is from RNAcentral.